RNAcentral lists this ribosomal RNA (468 nucleotides) under uncultured bacterium. RNAcentral describes it as "partial 16S ribosomal RNA". It matches the Rfam family "Bacterial small subunit ribosomal RNA", at positions 28 to 507 of the family's 1533-position model. The record is from RNAcentral.
GACGAACGCUGGCGGCGUGCUUAACACAUGCAAGUCGAACGGAAAGGCCCUGCUUUUGUGGGGUGCUCGAGUGGCGAACGGGUGAGUAACACGUGAGUAACCUGCCCUUGACUUUGGGAUAACUUCAGGAAACUGGGGCUAAUACCGGAUAGGAGCUCCUGCUUCAUGGUGGGGGUUGGAAAGUUUCGGCGGUUGGGGAUGGACUCGCGGCUUAUCAGCUUGUUGGUGGGGUAGUGGCUUACCAAGGCUUUGACGGGUAGCCGGCCUGAGAGGGUGACCGGCCACAUUGGGACUGAGAUACGGCCCAGACUCCUACGGGAGGAAGCAGUGGGGAAUAUUGCACAAUGGGCGGAAGCCUGAUGCAGCAACGCCGCGUGCGGGAUGACGGCCUUCGGGUUGUAAACCGCUUUCGCCUGUGACGAAGCGUGAGUGACGGUAAUGGGUAAAGAAGCACCGGCUAACUACGUG